RNAcentral lists this ribosomal RNA (1054 nucleotides) under Escherichia coli. RNAcentral's name for it is "partial 23S ribosomal RNA". It matches the Rfam family "Bacterial large subunit ribosomal RNA", at positions 95 to 1191 of the family's 2925-position model. The record is from RNAcentral. Lineage: Bacteria; Pseudomonadati; Pseudomonadota; Gammaproteobacteria; Enterobacterales; Enterobacteriaceae.
CCGUUAUAACCGGCGAUUUCCGAAUGGGGAAACCCAGUGUGAUUCGUCACACUAUCAUUAACUGAAUCCAUAGGUUAAUGAGGCGAACCGGGGGAACUGAAACAUCUAAGUACCCCGAGGAAAAGAAAUCAACCGAGAUUCCCCCAGUAGCGGCGAGCGAACGGGGAGCAGCCCAGAGUCUGAAUCAGUGUGUGUGUUAGUGGAAGCGUCUGGAAAGGCGCGCGAUACAGGGUGACAGCCCCGUACACAAAAAUGCACAUGCUGUGAGCUCGAUGAGUAGGGCGGGACACGUGGUAUCCUGUCUGAAUAUGGGGGGACCAUCCUCCAAGGCUAAAUACUCCUGACUGACCGAUAGUGAACCAGUACCGUGAGGGAAAGGCGAAAAGAACCCCGGCGAGGGGAGUGAAAAAGAACCUGAAACCGUGUACGUACAAGCAGUGGGAGCACGCUUAGGCGUGUGACUGCGUACCUUUUGUAUAAUGGGUCAGCGACUUAUAUUCUGUAGCAAGGUUAACCGAAUAGGGGAGCCGAAGGGAAACCGAGUCUUAACUGGGCGUUAAGUUGCAGGGUAUAGACCCGAAACCCGGUGAUCUAGCCAUGGGCAGGUUGAAGGUUGGGUAACACUAACUGGAGGACCGAACCGACUAAUGUUGAAAAAUUAGCGGAUGACUUGUGGCUGGGGGUGAAAGGCCAAUCAAACCGGGAGAUAGCUGGUUCUCCCCGAAAGCUAUUUAGGUAGCGCCUCGUGAAUUCAUCUCCGGGGGUAGAGCACUGUUUCGGCAAGGGGGUCAUCCCGACUUACCAACCCGAUGCAAACUGCGAAUACCGGAGAAUGUUAUCACGGGAGACACACGGCGGGUGCUAACGUCCGUCGUGAAGAGGGAAACAACCCAGACCGCCAGCUAAGGUCCCAAAGUCAUGGUUAAGUGGGAAACGAUGUGGGAAGGCCCAGACAGCCAGGAUGUUGGCUUAGAAGCAGCCAUCAUUUAAAGAAAGCGUAAUAGCUCACUGGUCGAGUCGGCCUGCGCGGAAGAUGUAACGGGGCUAAACCAUG